Molecule: ribosomal RNA, 251 nt
Filed under: uncultured bacterium
Lineage: Bacteria
Description: partial 16S ribosomal RNA
Rfam family: Bacterial small subunit ribosomal RNA
Source: RNAcentral
CGGGUGAGUAACGCGUGGAUAACCUGCCGUAUGCAGGGGGAUACCAACUGGAAACAGUUGCUAAUACCGCAUAAGCGCACAGCACCGCAUGGUGCAGUGUGAAAAGAUUUAUCGGCAUACGAUGGAUCCGCGUCCGAUUAGCCAGUUGGCGGGGUAGAAGCCCACCAAAGCGACGAUCGGUAGCCGGCCUGAGAGGGCGGACGGCCACAUUGGGACUGAGACACGGCCCAAACUCCUACGGGAGGCAGCAG